Molecule: ribosomal RNA, 468 nt
Filed under: uncultured bacterium
Lineage: Bacteria
Description: partial 16S ribosomal RNA
Rfam family: Bacterial small subunit ribosomal RNA
Source: RNAcentral
GACGAACGCUGGCGGCGUGCUUAACACAUGCCAGUCGAACGGAAAGGCCCUGCUUUUGUGGGGUGCUCGAGUGGCGAACGGGUGAGUAACACGUGAGUAACCUGCCCUUGACUUUGGGAUAACUUCAGGAAACUGGGGCUAAUACCGGAUAGGAGCUCCUGCUGCAUGGUGGGGGUUGGAAAGUUUCGGCGGUUGGGGAUGGACUCGCGGCUUAUCAGCUUGUUGGUGGGGUAGUGGCUUACCAAGGCUUUGACGGGUAGCCGGCCUGAGAGGGUGACCGGCCACAUUGGGACUGAGAUACGGCCCAGACCCCUACGGGAGGCAGCAGUGGGGAAUAUUGCACAAUGGGCGGAAGCCUGAUGCAGCAACGCCGCGUGCGGGAUGACGGCCUUCGGGUUGUAAACCGCUUUCGCCUGUGACGAAGCGUGAGUGACGGUAAUGGGUAAAGAAGCACCGGCUAACUACGCG